RNAcentral lists this transfer RNA (69 nucleotides) under Marmota monax (woodchuck). RNAcentral describes it as "tRNA.Ala". The record is from RNAcentral. Lineage: Eukaryota; Metazoa; Chordata; Mammalia; Rodentia; Sciuridae.
GGGGUUGUGGCUCAGAGGUAGAGUGCACCUAGCAUGCAUGAGGCACUGGGUUCGAUCCUCAGCACCACA